UGCAAGCGUAUACCAAAGUUGUUGCAGUUAAAACGCUCGUAGUCGGAAUUUGGCAGUUCCGGAUGUGUGCACGUCGUGUGCGCACUUCGCGGGGAUUGCUUUUGUGGUCUUGCGUAGGAUGAGGCACUUUUAUUAGUGAACGUCCUCACGCAACCACUUUUUACUGUGAGAAAAUCAGAGUGCUCAAAGCAGGCAUUUGCCGUGAGUGUAUUAGCAUGGAAUAAUAGAAUAGGACUUGGUUCUAUUUUGUUGGUUUGUUGGGACUGAGUAAUGAUUAAGAGGGACAGUUGGGGGCAUUUGUAUUUCGGUGCUAGAGGUGAAAUUCUUAGAUUACCGAAAGACAAACUGCUGCGAAAGCGUCUGCCAAGGAUGUUUUCAUUGA
Molecule: ribosomal RNA, 382 nt
Filed under: uncultured eukaryote
Lineage: Eukaryota
Description: partial 18S ribosomal RNA
Rfam family: Eukaryotic small subunit ribosomal RNA
Source: RNAcentral